AAGUCGUAACAAGGUCUCCGUUGGUGAACCAGCGGAGGGAUCAUUACAGAGUUGUAAAACUCCCAAACCCAUGUGAACGUACCUCUGUUGCCUCGGUGGCCUACGCUGUAGUUACCCUGUAGCUACCCUGUAGUCCGCCGAAGGACCAAAAAAACUCUUUCAUAUUUGUAUCUCUGAGACAAAAACAAAUAAGUUAAAACUUUCAACAACGGAUCUCUUGGUUCUG
RNAcentral lists this unclassified non-coding RNA (226 nucleotides) under fungal sp. RNAcentral's name for it is "partial internal transcribed spacer region". The stretch from base 1 to 46 matches the Rfam family "Eukaryotic small subunit ribosomal RNA", at positions 1786 to 1831 of the family's 1831-position model. Lineage: Eukaryota; Fungi. The record is from RNAcentral. RNAcentral also lists the same sequence under 1 other name.